This 799-nucleotide ribosomal RNA is filed under the name uncultured archaeon. RNAcentral's name for it is "bacterial SSU rRNA". It matches the Rfam family "Archaeal small subunit ribosomal RNA", at positions 60 to 859 of the family's 1478-position model. The record is from RNAcentral.
AUAUGUUCUUUGGAACAUGGCGUACUGCUCAGUAACACGUGGAUAACCUGCCCUUGGGUCCGGCAUAACCCCGGGAAACUGGGGAUAAUACCGGAUAACGCAUAUAUGCUGGAAUUCUUUAUGCGUGAAACGGAUUCGUCUGCCCAAGGAUGGGUCUGCGGCCUAUCAGGUAGUAGUGGGUGUAAUGUACCUACUAGCCGACGACGGGUACGGGUUGUGAGAGCAAGAGCCCGGAGAUGGAUUCUGAGACAUGAAUCCAGGCCCUACGGGGCGCAGCAGGCGCGAAAACUUUACAAUGCGGGAAACCGUGAUAAGGGGACACCGAGUGCCAGCAUCCUAUGCUGGCUGUCCAGGUGUGUAAACUACACCUGUUAGCAAGGGCCGGGCAAGACCGGUGCCAGCCGCCGCGGUAACACCGGCGGCCCGAGUGGUGAUCGUGAUUAUUGGGUCUAAAGGGUCCGUAGCCGGUUUGGUCAGUCCUCCGGGAAAUCUGACAGCUUAACUGUUAGGCUUUCGGAGGAUACUGCCAGACUUGGAACCGGGAGAGGUAAGAGGUACUACAGGGGUAGGAGUGAAAUCUUGUAAUCCCUGUGGGACCACCUGUGGCGAAGGCGUCUUACCAGAACGGGUUCGACGGUGAGGGACGAAAGCUGGGGGCACGAACCGGAUUAGAUACCCGGGUAGUCCCAGCCGUAAACGAUGCUCGCUAGGUGUCAGGCAUGGCGCGACCGUGUCUGGUGCCGCAGGGAAGCCGUGAAGCGAGCCACCUGGGAAGUACGGCCGCAAGGCUGAAACUUAA